CAAUCAUCUUUGGGAUAUCUAGUUUAAAAAAUGUGUGGCGUGACCCGGCCAACCAACCAAGAUGGCCGCCAUGGCUAAAAAUAGAACAUAGGGUAAAAUGCAGUUUUUUGGCUUAUAACUCAAAAACCAAAGCAUUUAGAGCAAAUCUGACAGGGUAAAAGUGUUUAUCAGGUCAAGAUCUAUCUGUCCUGAAAUUUUCAGAUGAAUCGGACAACCUGUUGUUGGGUUGCUGCCCUGAAUUGGUAAUUUUAAGGAAAUUUUGCUGUUUUUGGUUAUUAUCUUGAAUAUUAUUAUAGAUAGAGAUAAACUGUAAACAGCAAUAAUGUUCAGCAAAGUAAGAUUUACAAAUAAGUCAGCAAGACCAAAAUGGUCAGUUGACCCCUAAAGGAGUUAUUGCCCUUUAUAGUAAAUUUUUAACCAUUUUUUCGUAAAUCUUAGUAAUCUUUUACAAAAAUCUUCUUCUCUGAAACUACUGGGCCAAAUUAAACUAAACUUGGCCACAAUCAUCAUUGGGGUAAGUUGUUUAAAAAAUUUGUGGCGUGACCUGGCCAAUCAACCAAAAUGGCUGCCACGGCUAAUAAUAGAACAUAGGGGUAAAAUGCAGUUUUUGGCUUAUAACUCAAAAACCGAAGCAUUAAGAGAAAAUCUGACAGGGUUUAAUUGUUUAUCAGGUCAAGAUCUAUCUGCCCUGAUGUUUUCACAUGGAUCGGACAACCCGUUGUUAGGUUACUGUCCUGAAUUGGUAAUUUUAAGGAAAUUUUGCCGUUUUUUGUUAUUAUCUUGAAUAUUAUUAUAGAUAGAGAUAAACUGUAUACAGCAAUAACGUUCAGCAAAA
RNAcentral lists this long non-coding RNA (835 nucleotides) under Mytilus galloprovincialis (Mediterranean mussel). The record is from RNAcentral. Lineage: Eukaryota; Metazoa; Mollusca; Bivalvia; Mytilida; Mytilidae.